Molecule: unclassified non-coding RNA, 249 nt
Filed under: Hevea brasiliensis (rubber tree)
Lineage: Eukaryota; Viridiplantae; Streptophyta; Magnoliopsida; Malpighiales; Euphorbiaceae
Source: RNAcentral
UUAACUCACACCGAACCGACCAGUUGAACGAGUGAACCGGCUCUCAAACCGGUCCAGGUUUAUAAUUGAACAAAAUAAGGAAGUGAUCUGAUGUUGAAUCAGUGUGAUUGGUUGACUUGGCUAGUUCAAUUAUUCAAUUAACUCUUUUUUUCCUUUUUUAGUGUUGGUAUAGAGAAUUGAACUCAAAAUCUCAUAAAAAAUCUUUAAAAUUAAAAUCAAUUGAGCUAGUUUGGUAGUUAUGUGUUUUCG